RNAcentral lists this ribosomal RNA (632 nucleotides) under Candidatus Poseidoniia archaeon. Its description in RNAcentral is "bacterial SSU rRNA". It matches the Rfam family "Archaeal small subunit ribosomal RNA", at positions 137 to 776 of the family's 1478-position model. Lineage: Archaea; Methanobacteriati; Thermoplasmatota; Candidatus Poseidoniia. The record is from RNAcentral.
AAACUGAGGGUAAUACUUGAUAGGAAAUAAUUUCUGGAAUGAUUUAUUUCUGAAAUUCGAGCCAAAGGAUGGGGCUGCGGCUGAUUAGCUUGUUGUUGGUGUAAUGGACUAACAAGGCGAUGAUCAGUAAGGGCUCUUAGCGGAGAGGCCCUAAGAAGGAAUCUUAGACACUAUUCCUAGCCCUACGGGGUGCAGCAGCUGAGGAAAUUUUACAAUGCACGAAAGUGUGAUAGAAUAAACCAGAGUGAUUCUCUAUGAGAAUCUUUUGUCUACUGUAAAAAGGUAGACGAAUAAGGACUGGGCAAGACCGGUGCCAGCCGCCGCGGUAAUACCGGCGGUCCAAGUCGUAUCCACAUUUAUUGGGUCUAAAACAUUCGUAGCUUGUUUUGUAAGUUUCUUGUGAAAUCCUAUACCUCAAGUAUAGGGCGUGCAAGAAAUACUACAUUACUAGAGACCGGAAGACGUAAGGAGUAUGAUUGAGGUAGCGGUAAAAUGUGUUAAUCUUGAUUAGACUAACAAUGGCGAAGGCACCUUACGAGUACGGAUCUGACAGUGAGGGAUGAAGGCUAGGGUCGCGAAAGGGAUUAGAUACCCCUGUAGUCCUAGCAGUAAACACUGUUCACUAAACAUUA